GGGCGUUUAGCUCAGCUGGGAGAGCACCUGCCUUACAAGCAGGGGGUCAUAGGUUCGAGCCUUAUAGUGCCCACCA
This 76-nucleotide transfer RNA is filed under the name Clostridiales bacterium. RNAcentral's name for it is "tRNA-Val". It matches the Rfam family "tRNA". From Rfam's summary of the family: Transfer RNA (tRNA) molecules are approximately 80 nucleotides in length. Their secondary structure includes four short double-helical elements and three loops (D, anti-codon, and T loops). Lineage: Bacteria; Bacillati; Bacillota; Clostridia; Eubacteriales. The record is from RNAcentral. RNAcentral also lists the same sequence under 1 other name.